CGACGAUACAGGGUGAUAGUCCCGUAGUUGACGACGUGUGUUCAGUGAAAUCGAGUAGGGCGGGACACGUGAU
This 73-nucleotide transfer RNA is filed under the name Vibrio parahaemolyticus. RNAcentral describes it as "tRNA-Ala". The record is from RNAcentral. Lineage: Bacteria; Pseudomonadati; Pseudomonadota; Gammaproteobacteria; Vibrionales; Vibrionaceae.